GCAGGCAGAGCUGGAGCUGAAGUCCAGAGUUGACAAACUACACCCGCAGGAAAAUCCUACCUGCCGCUUGUUGUGUGCUUCACAGGCUUUCUGACCAGAGGCAAAAAUCUUCUAUUUUGGAACUUGCCCAUGCAGACCUGCUUUAAAGAAGAGGUCUGAAUAUAUAAAGAAAAUUAGUUACAGGAAUGGGAUGUAACUGUGGAUGUUUUAUUCAUUCCUAAGCCAACACUUAUGGAAGGAACUAUUCCAUAAAGAAAGCCCUGCACUUGGGACCUGAACCAGUGAUAAAGAAUUCAAGAAUCCCCACCAACCACACCUAGCUGUGCUUGUGGGUCACAUCCAGUAGGGGACUUAUGCUUGUAAAGGCAGUGACAAACCCUGUGAGAAGUACCCGUGGUUUUGUGGUCAUUCAGAGAAGCAAGCUUCCAGCUCUACCUUGUGGGAAUCAGCUAAGUUUAUGCUCUAGAAAAGAGGGGAGCUGAAUCUUGGAGAGUGAGAAGACGGUCACUGGCCAGAAAUGCCAGGACCAGCCUUAUGGGCACUGAACAGAUGGCAGGGCAUUCGCUAAGCUCAGAGCUGUCAAAGGUCACACAUUCCAUCAGAUCUUCUCAUCACUUUAGGGCGAGAAGAAACCCUUGAGAUCUCAGAGAAAGAAGAGGAAACACGGCCUCUGUUUAUUGAAUAACUGUGUGUAUUAAAAAUCAAACACAACUACUUGAUUAUUCUCCAUUCCAACUUCUUCCCCUUCCCUGAGUUACACACACCUCUUGCCAAUUUAUGACGUGUCGACAGAGUUAUUAUCUAGCGAAAAUUACCACCACCCACGCUGGGAAUCUCUGCUGUUAUAAAACAAAAGCAAACGCCAAAUCGGGAGGAGAAAGAGUGCAUAUGAGAGAGGGCCUUUUGCAUCUCUUUUCUGACAAUGUUCUUUUUAUGCUAAUAUCUCAUAGUUUCC
This is a non-coding RNA of Odocoileus virginianus texanus, 955 nucleotides long. The record is from RefSeq and is a predicted model, not a curated record. Lineage: Eukaryota; Metazoa; Chordata; Mammalia; Artiodactyla; Cervidae.